GACGAACCGUGCGAACGUUGUUCGGAAUCACUGGGCUUAAAGGGCGCGUAGGCGGGCUUAAAAGUCAGGGGUGAAAUCCCGCGGCUCAACCGUGGAAGUGCCUCUGAUACUGUAAGUCUCGAGGGAGGUAGGGGCGUGCGGAACUUCCGGUGGAGCGGUGAAAUGCGUAGAUAUCGGAAGGAACACCGGUGGCGAAGGCGGCUCACUGGUCCGGUACUGACGCUGAGGUGCGAAAGCGUGGGGAGCAAACAGG
RNAcentral lists this ribosomal RNA (253 nucleotides) under uncultured bacterium. Its description in RNAcentral is "partial 16S ribosomal RNA". It matches the Rfam family "Bacterial small subunit ribosomal RNA", at positions 524 to 776 of the family's 1533-position model. The record is from RNAcentral.